This 1985-nucleotide long non-coding RNA is filed under the name Sitophilus oryzae (rice weevil). RNAcentral's name for it is "uncharacterized LOC115876808, transcript variant X1". Lineage: Eukaryota; Metazoa; Arthropoda; Insecta; Coleoptera; Curculionidae. The record is from RNAcentral.
ACAAAAAUAAAUAAGUAAUGUCCGAAAGUUUUGACUACCGAUUUUAAAAAUUCUUGUAUAAUUUUUUCUUUAAUAUAUUUUUAAUUUUUAGCUGUUUUCGCCGAAGACAAUUAUACACAAAAAUUGAGAGAUCAGAAUAACAGAAUAACUGGACUUAAUGUAACAUAAGAAGCCGUCAAGUAUGUCUAAAGGUAAAUUUAAUAUAAGAUAUUUCUCCAAAGAUAUAUCAUAGGUCUGACUUCAUUUUGUAUAUGACAAAAAAAAUAAUUUCAAUAAGUAAUGUCUGAGAUCACCAGCGGUGUUAAAAUGGUUUAAAUAAAAUCCUUUGACUGGUGAAUUUUUAAAAAUUCAUAUAUACAUAUACUUUUUUUAAUAUAUUUUUAAUUUUUAGCUAUUUUCAUCCAAGACAGUCAUGUGUGAAACAGACAACAAUUGAGAGAUCUGAAUAACAGAAUAUAAUAUCUGGAGUUAAUGUAACAAUAAGAAGCCAUCAAGUAUGUCUUAAGGUAGGCCAGGUUGCCAAUUCGAUGCAGUAUACGAAAAAUUUGCUGUGGAAUUGACUGCAUACACGUGUCACGGAACAAUGUUAUUAGGAAAGGACAAAAUUCUUUUUGAACUUUUUUGGCUACACCUUAAGAAAACGUGGCCACAAAUUUAGACAGGAAUGCUUAAAAGAUUACUUUGUAGCAUUAGGAUGUUAAAGAAUAUUUAGUCCAAUUCACUCAAUAACCACCGCCUUAGUUGACGAAAAUAGGAAUUAGCAUUAAAUAUUGAAAGAUAUGUGUGACGUGGGCUUGGAACUUAACGGGAACUGCCGAAAAAGAGCAAGAGAAUCAAACGUGAAAAGGAAAAAAGAGAAAAAACAACGGUUUUUAUCCGAUCGGGCAUCAUUCAAAAGAAGAAAGAAACCCUCCUAUAAAAUCUAGAUCUUAAGAAAAAGUGCAGAUUUAAUAAGAAGAUUUAAAGAUAUUGUAAAUCUGGCUUAUGCCGGACCUGUUGAUUUUUCCAGUUUCAAAUAAUUUUGUCAUUUGAAGAGGAUCAUUCCUUUUCCCAGCAGAAGAAUUAGCCAGUUAUAUCGGAAGUCAUAAACAAGACCUUUUAGAAGCUAUUUAAUUCUGACAAAAGAGGUUUGGAAGCGCCAAGACCAGUUUACCAGUAACCUUCUUUGAACGAAACCAAUACUUUUUGAAAAAACAAUGACCCUAAGAUGCAGUUCGUCAGAUCGAAAGGGAACGAUUCUCCUUUUUGGAAGGCAGCCAACACAAUUUAUAUCACACGUCGCCCUAUGACAAAGACAAAUCAACAUAACUGGUCUUACAAUUAUAUGAAUGAAGAAAUACUGACUAAAGAACAUAAAAGAUGCUCAAUGUCAAAAGAAAUGAAGAAAAAGUAUGGUAUGGCCUCUCGUCGUGUCGCCUUUGCAAAGCAGUAUUUACAUUGUGAGUAGCCUAUAAUUUUGAAAAUAUGUACUCAUAAAAUGGAAGCUUAUGGAGCAAGGAAAUGGAGGAAUAAGAAGAAUGGAAGAAGAAUAUGAAAAUAGGAUGACGUGGAGUGGAUUGUAGAUGUUUUAAGAAUUGGAGGGUGAAUAAUAAGACGAAUAGCUGAAGAAUACCUGUGACAUGUAGCUUUUUUAAGAGGAUAUCAACUAUAAGAAUUUAUGAGAAAUUUUAAGUGAGAUCAUUGCAGUGCAAGUUGGGGGGUAAAAUGUAAAGCUUAUGAUUAAAUAUUCACCACCAAGAGAUGCAGCAGAACCAUAGCAGUACUGUGGAAGAUUACAAAACCAGCAGGAUGAGAUCAGAUCAUUAGAGAGUGGUCCAUAAUAAUAAAUGGGACCAAAUUAAAGCCAAACAGUAUACUAGGGUGCCAUUACAUCAUCUAGGAGCUUAAAUAUAAUAGUUACCAAAUCAAAACCAAACAGGAUACUAUAUAGGGUGCCAGAUUACAUUAUUCAGGAGCCUAAAUAUAACAUUUUAACUGACUGAAUA